Long non-coding RNA from Peromyscus leucopus (white-footed mouse), 1801 nucleotides. RefSeq lists it as uncharacterized. The transcript is spliced from 4 exons. Lineage: Eukaryota; Metazoa; Chordata; Mammalia; Rodentia; Cricetidae. The record is from RefSeq and is a predicted model, not a curated record.
AAGAUGGCUCAUUUUGGUCUCACAAGGACAGGGAACUGUGAGGCCAGGGAACUGUGAGGCCAGGGAACUGUGAGGACUGGGAACUGUGAAGACUGGGAACUGUGAGGACAGGGAACUGUGAGGACAGGGAACUGUGAGGCCAGGGAACCGUGAAGACAGGGAACCGUGAGGACAGGGAACCGUGAGGACAGGGAACCGUGAAGACAGGGAACCGUGAAGACUGGGAACCGUGAAGACAGGGAACCGUGAGGACAGGGAACCGUGAGGACAGGGAACCGUGAGGACAGGGAACCGUGAGGACAGGGAACUGUGAGGACAGGAAACUGUGAAGACAGGGAACUGUGAAGACUUCUCCUCUCUUAACAGGUGAAAGAGGAGGAAAUCACAACACGUGAUUUUCCCAGAGCAGAACAGAGGGCCUGAGCGUUGUCACAGGAGGCGUGGGAAAGAGCCAUUCUUUACACAGGACCUGGGGCUGCUCACCCUAGGCUGGAUCCACGUAAGCAAAUCUGACCUUCCUGAGGGCGGGCCUCCUCUUCUCUGUCUCUUAGAAGAACACUGGCCAAGUCUUUCUCUCAGCAGAGUCAAGUCAUUCUGUCUCUUUUGUCUCUGAGCACACACGACUGCUUGUGUCCCAACGUUGAGGGCUUUAAAAACACAUCUAAACUUUAUCUGUUAUUAAAAGUAAUUCUUCAGAGUUUCAGUUCCUUUUGAGGCUGGGGCCAAAGUCAGCUGUCAUAGGACAGAUACGGACAUGCUCCAGAGACCGUGUGCCUAAAAGCUGCAUAUAUGACACAUUUAAAUAAGCCAGGAGAGCUCAUUCUGGUGAUUGCAUUUUCUUCUUCAUGGCGAGCACUUGACAAAGAGCUCCUCGGUCAUAUUUUCAAGUGUUUGCACAUGUGCGCACACUUCUGAUGAUCUUCAAGGAAACACAGUUCCUUUCCUAGAGAGUGCUUCUGAGUGUUUUUCUUGUUUCAAGACCCGAAACUCAGAGAACAAGCUGCUUUUCUUGGCUGUGACAGCUGUAGCCACAAUCAGGUGGUUUAUUUCUACACUUGGAGAGAUCACAGACACUUGAACUCAGGUUCAGGAAGUGCUGAGCUGGGAGGCAGGCUCCUGGGCCUUCAUCCUUCUCUGUUAAAGUGUAUAAAUUCUUACCGGUCUGCCUGUCGUGCCUGGGGACACAAAUGGGAGAUCACACAGAGAAUGAGCACCUGUUCACAUGAGGCACCUGUACUAUAGUCUUCCGGAGGGCAGAACAACGACAUGACCUGAGCAGACUCCAGAUGUUCAAAUGAAGGGGCUGCAAGGUUGGUUGAGACGGGGAGGUCAGCAUUGACUCAUCUGAACAGUCCUAAUUCCUUGCUUGACUCUUCCUUCUUCCCACUCAUUUCUGCGUUGAGUUCCCGCCCCAUCCGGGCACCGUGCAAGAACGGCGUCUAGAGAGACGGUGACAGAAAGAGCAGGGAGACAUUGAUGAGAAGACAACAGAGGAGGAAGAAGAGGAAGGAAGGAGAAACGGAGCAGGAACUGGAGUUCUCACACUGACACCUUUUGGAGUGGAAGAAAUGUCGUUCUGCCCACGAGGGGUUCCAUCUCCAUGAACAGGACACACCUCUCUUCUGUGUAUGAUCUAUUACAAGAAAUCACAGCCAUGUUUGCAGGCAGGACACAGAGCUGAUCAUUCCCGUCCUUUCUGACCCACUUGGGAGUUCAGCCUCAGUACUCUCCUGUAGAUGUAACCAAUCAUCUUAUUAAAAUAAGAAACACAGAGCCAAUGUAAAAGAGAAAGCCGAGAGGU